RNAcentral lists this small nucleolar RNA (129 nucleotides) under Fukomys damarensis (Damara mole-rat). Its description in RNAcentral is "Small nucleolar RNA SNORA63 (ENSFDAG00000020759.1)". The record is from RNAcentral. Lineage: Eukaryota; Metazoa; Chordata; Mammalia; Rodentia; Bathyergidae.
AGGCAGGAUCUGGUUCCAGUGUAGCGGCGCAGUGCUACACUGUCUGUGCUUCCUGCUCUAAAUAAAACUGUCACCUUCCUGGCCCUGCCUGCUGGAACCCAAGCAGCAGGGAUGCUUGGUCUCAUACAG